Molecule: ribosomal RNA, 342 nt
Filed under: Triticum aestivum (bread wheat)
Lineage: Eukaryota; Viridiplantae; Streptophyta; Magnoliopsida; Poales; Poaceae
Description: partial small subunit ribosomal RNA
Source: RNAcentral
AUGGAGAAGGCCGAGCGCGUGGCUGCCUACACCUUCACCAGGGACUCGGGCCAUUCAUACAAGGAGUUGUAUGGGCGGGUCUUCGCCGUCGCAGAUAAAGUCCGCCGUCUAUAUGCCGCUGACGCGGUGUCAGGUAUCAAGCCAGAUGAAUUUGCGGAUAUGAUGUUUCACGAUGCUUGCUUCAUGCUGCAGUAUAUGAAAUCGUAUUCAUGCAAAGAAGAAGAAGAAGAAGAAGAAGAAGAAGAAGAAGAAGAAGAAGAAGAAGAAGAGAAAAAAAAGAGAAAAAGAAGAUGCGACACCACUACGACGUUUCUUCCUCUCCAACCAAGGUUGCAUCAAUAA